GAUGCGCUGUACGACGAACGACCAAUGUGAUUUUAUCUACUCCAAAAUGUGUUAUUUUGCAGUUAAAUAGUUUGGAAACUAGUGUUAAGUGUUAAAAUAUAGUGUUACCAUCUUCUGGUAUUAUAGUUUAGUGGUAAAAUUUGCGGAAAAUCAAUUAAAUAGUUAAAAUAUCGAAUGUGUUUGUAUCGUCCGCCAUUACGCUCGUUGGCGACGCGCCGUUUGUAGAGAUCGAUAGCCCUAUAUCUAUCUCUGUCACUCUUAUGGUAAUAAAAUGGCGCCAAUACCUACAACAAAAGCUGAAGAAGACCGACGGCACAUUAUCAAGAAAGAACAGAAAUAUUUGGCGUUAUUACAUUAUGCCUACUGAUUGGUGGUGAAAUCACAAGAUUUAAAACUAAGUUCAUUCAAGGAAACAACAACAAAUAUCUAAGAAACAGUUGUAACUGCUUAAAAGUACAAUUUCCAUUUCAAACCACGCCGAUACAUGUUCAUUGUGUCGAAAUAAACAAAAGAAGAAGAAAUAACACCAAACAAAAUUGAAAACAAGCCAUUGUUAUGUUAUACGGAGGUUGUACGAGAAAAAGGCAAUCUACAUGGAGGGUUCGUACCGGACGACUCAAGAUGAGGAAAUAAGAAUUCAUCCUUUCUCGCCCCGGGUGGGAUUGGUUCGGGCCGAGGGGGGGUUGCAAGACGGACGACGCCAUUCCAAAAACCCAUUAUACGAGCACCAGAGCUGUUUUCUAUCUCAGAAAGGAACCCGUACCACCCCCUCGCCUCACCGCCCCCUUCUUCAGGGAUCCUCAACUUUGUUUAUGAAAAUUACCCAUUAAAGUGGCUAUGAAAGUAACGCUUUUGCCACUCCCGAAAUUAAUAAGGAAAUUGAUAUAGAUUAUUUUUAGGUCGCAUUUGGUGCCCGUAUUCGAGACGAUCAAUAGUCAUUGUUUUGUGAUAUUACGAGUAUUAUGUUGGCUUGUUUAAUAUGUAAAGAGUUUUAUAAAAAAAAAAUGUAGUGCAAUGUUUCUCACGGUUAGUUAGUUUUGGUGAUUGACGUCAGCAUUAUUUUAAUGUUAAUUUUUGCUGUAGUAGCGUCUGGUACUAACAUGUAUGAUUUUGUUUAAUGUCUUUUUGUUAUAUC
Long non-coding RNA from Spodoptera frugiperda (fall armyworm), 1135 nucleotides. RefSeq lists it as uncharacterized. Lineage: Eukaryota; Metazoa; Arthropoda; Insecta; Lepidoptera; Noctuidae. The record is from RefSeq and is a predicted model, not a curated record. The transcript is spliced from 3 exons.